UGGGGAAUUUUGGACAAUGGGCGAAAGCCUGAUCCAGCAAUGCCGCGUGUGUGAAGAAGGCCUUCGGGUUGUAAACCUCUUUCAGCAGGGAAGAAGCGAAAGUGACGGUACCUGCAGAAGAAGCGCCGGCUAACUACGUGCCAGCAGCCGCGGUAAUACGUAGGGCGCAAGCGUUGUCCGGAAUUAUUGGGCGUAAAGAGCUCGUAGGCGGUUAGUCGCGUCUGCUGUGAAAAUCUCGAGGCUCAACCUCGGGCUUGCAGUGGGUACGGGCUGACUAGAGUGCGGUAGGGGUGACUGGAAUUCCUGGUGUAGCGGUGGAAUGCGCAGAUAUCAGGAGGAACACCGAUGGCGAAGGCAGGUCACUGGGCCGCAACUGACGCUGAGGAGCGAAAGCAUGGGGAGCGAACAGGAUUAGAUACCCUGGUAGUCCAUGCCGUAAACGUUGGGCACUAGGUGUGGGGUCCAUUCCACGGAUUCCGUGCCGCAGC
This 488-nucleotide ribosomal RNA is filed under the name uncultured bacterium. Its description in RNAcentral is "partial 16S ribosomal RNA". It matches the Rfam family "Bacterial small subunit ribosomal RNA", at positions 355 to 852 of the family's 1533-position model. The record is from RNAcentral.